RNAcentral lists this long non-coding RNA (1842 nucleotides) under Equus caballus (horse). Its description in RNAcentral is "lncRNA (ENSECAG00000056248.1)". Lineage: Eukaryota; Metazoa; Chordata; Mammalia; Perissodactyla; Equidae. The record is from RNAcentral.
GGGCAGUGGAUGGGACGGCUUAGCUGGAAGAAGAGUGCCACACGCUGGAAAAGGAGAAUAUUGUCUUCUGAAAUGCUUCUGCAAGGGUCUUUAAAGGAAAGUUCUCAAACUGAGAACACACAAAUUUAAUUCUCUCUCUUUUCUGUAUUUUCAUUUAUUUUACUGACAUCAAGUACAGAGAAUUGGAUUUGGGGUUAGUCAUAAUUCUGGUUCCUGCCAUAGUCAUCACUGUUGCAUUUAACAUGAGGUCUGCUUUUAGUGAGUUAGUUCUUGAAUUAAUAAGUUUUUAAUAAUGUAAUAAGCCUGAUGGACCUACCACCUCAAACAAAAAAGCAAAGCCCUUGACAAUAACCUCCAUGCAGCCCUGCGGCCCAUCCCACCCUGUCUCCUUGCCUCCCCACACCCAGAAUAACCAGGCUCCUGCAGUUCUGGACCGGAUUGGAGGCACUGCUGUCACAGGCAUCUGUGCAGAAGGUCCACCUCUGCCCACGUGGCAUCAGCUCAACCGGGGACUACAGCAUCACUUCCAAGAUGAUUCACUCACAUGACUGCCAAUUCAGUGCUGUGUAGACUGGGAGUUCAGCCUUGCAUGCUGAUGUCUGGAGCAAGAGUCCCAAGACGAAGAUGCCAAAAAAUCGCAUUUUCUGAUUUAGCAUUCGAGGAUACAAAGUGUCACUACCACUGACAAGCAGCUUCAAGCGGAGGGAACAAAGAUCCCAUUCCUCGACGGGAGCAGCGUCAAAGCUGAGUUGCAAGAAGAGCGUAUGGACUAGAAUGUAUUGUUGCAGUCACCACUAUCACAAGAGCGAAUAAGGGAGAGACUUUCUGAAGGGCUGGUUUCAUGUGAAAAUCCUUUUGACAAUAAUAUUUGGCACAUUAUUCUUCUAAAAAAAGUGCAGGCCUAAAUAUACCAAGAAAAUAAAACAAAUUACAGUCUCUGAAUUCAUGGGAUUUGCAAAAAUCAGAAGAAAUCAACUUGAGCAGAAGCUGAAAGGAGCACUAGCACUUGCUAAUGUGACCUUGCCGAGUUUCUGAACGUCUAUAAACCCUAAGUGCCUCAUCUCUAGAUUGAAAUUAAUUCCAUUGUGACAGUUGGGAGAAUAGAAUAAAAUAUUUUAUGUAAAGCACAAAACCAGCAAAUGCAUUUGAAUAACAUUAUUUACCUUCUUCCUUGAGCAUUGCGUUUCAUUGGCUAUUACCACCAACACUUGAGAUCCACAAUGUGAUAAAUUAAUUAAUAAAUAUGAAAGGUGAUCAUUUUUAGAAUUACAUUUCAUUGAGAAAAUUCUACAUACUGGGCUGUGGACUGAUGUAUGGUAAAUUAUCUUCAUUACCUAUUAAGCAAAUAUUUCAUCUUAAAAAAACUCAUUGAACAAGUCAAAUGCUGUGUGGGUACACUUUAGUCAUGGCUUAAAUAUUCAGAGACAAGAUGUUGCCUACCCAAGAAAAACACAAUUAAGAAAGCCUUGGGGAAAAGUAAAAUUAAAAACAAAAAUAGAAAACAGCCCGCUUUGCUUCCAGCAAAAGCAGGAAAUGGGUUGUGUAAAGGAAAUCACCAAAAUGUGACAUGGAAGACACUUAAAGUACCUCUGUCAAAUUAGAACCCACUAAAUUAUUGUGAUGUGUAUCAUAAUAUAUUCAUUGAACCUUACAAGAAGUAAAAAUAGUCAAAAUAUUUGUGUAUUUUUUACUAUUUAAUCACAAUUAAAGAAAUAUAAAUAAUGUUAAACAGAAAAAGAUUAAGGAAAGAGCAAGAAGAAUGAUUAAAGUUUUGAAAAAUGGUAGCUAAGAAGGAAAGUUUGACAUAAAAUUUAUGCAAUUUGGUUAAAAGGAAAAGACAGC